AUCUAAAAGAAGGCAAGAAGAAAUCUAGAGAGGGGCUUUUACAACGAUCUGUAGUGACAGGACAAGGGCAAAUGGCUUUAACCUGACAGAGGAGAG
Molecule: long non-coding RNA, 96 nt
Organism: Strigops habroptila (Kakapo)
Lineage: Eukaryota; Metazoa; Chordata; Aves; Psittaciformes; Psittacidae
Exons: 3
Source: RefSeq, a predicted model, not a curated record